RNAcentral lists this transfer RNA (72 nucleotides) under Arabidopsis thaliana (thale cress). RNAcentral's name for it is "tRNA-Leu". It matches the Rfam family "tRNA". From Rfam's summary of the family: Transfer RNA (tRNA) molecules are approximately 80 nucleotides in length. The record is from RNAcentral. RNAcentral also lists the same sequence under 1 other name. Lineage: Eukaryota; Viridiplantae; Streptophyta; Magnoliopsida; Brassicales; Brassicaceae.
GUGGCUGUAAUACAGUGGUUAGUAUUCCACGUUGAGGCCGAAGGGACCUGGGCUCGAUUCCCAGCAGACACA